This 18-nucleotide ribosomal RNA is filed under the name Swartzia panacoco var. sagotii. RNAcentral's name for it is "partial 18S ribosomal RNA". Lineage: Eukaryota; Viridiplantae; Streptophyta; Magnoliopsida; Fabales; Fabaceae. The record is from RNAcentral.
CCUGCGCAAGGAUCAUCG